AGUUUUAUAGUCAAAAAUGAUUUUAAAUUGCAAAUUUAAAGGUAGAACAAGUUUCUUAAGGCUU
This 64-nucleotide transfer RNA is filed under the name Chrysolina polita. Its description in RNAcentral is "tRNA-Cys". The record is from RNAcentral. Lineage: Eukaryota; Metazoa; Arthropoda; Insecta; Coleoptera; Chrysomelidae.